Long non-coding RNA from Populus nigra (black poplar), 1123 nucleotides. RefSeq lists it as uncharacterized. Lineage: Eukaryota; Viridiplantae; Streptophyta; Magnoliopsida; Malpighiales; Salicaceae. The transcript has 2 exons. The record is from RefSeq and is a predicted model, not a curated record.
UAUUCACAUCGAUUAAUCUACAUUAUGUUUUUUCAAAAAAAAGCUAUGAUCGAUCUGCUUUGUGUUUUUCUUUUCCAAUUGUUUUUAGCAGGCUUGAUAUAUAGUUAUAGUAUCAUAUAUUGCGCAUAGCCCGGAUGUUUUCUGAACAGCACGAGCGGUUCGGAUUUCGAAUCGCUUGAGGAAGAAUCAGACAGAAGAAACUUUAAUUCAAGAUUUUCUGAAUUUUGCUUUUGUUCGGAAUUCAAGAGUUCAUAUGUGAUACAAUGACAAUGAUGUAGGAAACACUUCUCAAUCUGAUGCUUUGUAAUUACCUGCAUUACAACCUAUAUGAUCAGGCAGAGAAAUUGGGGUCAAAGGCACCAAAAUUUCAAUUACGCUAAGUCAGCAGCAGGGGAAAUACAAGGCUGAUGUUGCGCAGUCCAGUCCUGAUGACACUAUGUCGAAAACAUUGUAGCAAAGGCCAUCCGUGAUGGAGCAAUUAAAGCUAAGAUUGAUCAUGCAAAUGGGUGGCUGAUAUAUCGAAGGAGACUCGAGACAUUUACGCUACAAGAGAGAGGGUCAAACCCGAAACCUCUUCAAGAGAAGUGGUAUGGAUACAAAUCGAGCUACAGCCUGCAAGCUCCCAAUCUGGUCUCUAUAACUAGGCCUGACGUGUCACAUGACUCCACAUUAAAGAACCGAGCAUGGUACAGAAGUCCAGGAAGACCAGGGUACUUCGGCCAUGUCUUUGUUUCCAGGUGUUUCAUCAUAUCAAGAGAUUAAGGGGCCAGGGACAAAACGAAUAACGAGAGAUCCCGAAUUCUAAUCUAUGUACCCACUCCACAUAGAAAUAUACUCGUAAAUCAUUGUUUUUUUUUUUUAUCGAAAAACAGGAAUCUCUCCCGUCCGAUCAGCUAAUCUCAUGUGGACCAUAUGAUUCCAAUCAUUUUUGCCACAUAACAAGGAAACUCCUAAUGUACUCAUGAGUCCAUGUUCUGUUUUUGACUUUUUAUUAUCAUAUCAAAUCAACUACAUGGAAAUGUGCUUGUUGAUUGAUUCAACUUCAUGUAGUUCCUACUUGUACGAUUACCGAAUCCCGAUUGUUUUACUUUUUCUUAAUCCCAUUCCCACAAUUACCUACUCA